RNAcentral lists this ribosomal RNA (1392 nucleotides) under uncultured bacterium. RNAcentral describes it as "partial 16S ribosomal RNA". It matches the Rfam family "Bacterial small subunit ribosomal RNA". The record is from RNAcentral.
AGAGUUUGAUCCUGGCUCAGGAUGAACGCUGGCGGCGUGCCUAACACAUGCAAGUCGAGCGAAGCAUACAGAAUGAAGUUUUCGGAUGGAUUUCUGUAUGACUGAGCGGCGGACGGGUGAGUAACGCGUGGGUAACCUGCCUUAUACAGGGGGAUAACAGUUAGAAAUGACUGCUAAUACCGCAUAAGCGCACAGUACUGCAUGGUACAGUGUGAAAAACUCCGGUGGUAUAAGAUGGACCCGCGUCUGAUUAGCCAGUUGGCGGGGUAACGGCCCACCAAAGCGACGAUCAGUAGCCGACCUGAGAGGGUGACCGGCCACAUUGGGACUGAGACACGGCCCAAACUCCUACGGGAGGCAGCAGUGGGGAAUAUUGCACAAUGGGGGAAACCCUGAUGCAGCAACGCCGCGUGAGUGAAGAAGUAUUUCGGUAUGUAAAGCUCUAUCAGCAGGGAAGAAGAUGACGGUACCUGAUCAAGAAGCCCCGGCUAACUACGUGCCAGCAGCCGCGGUAAUACGUAGGGGGCAAGCGUUAUCCGGAUUUACUGGGCGUAAAGCGAGUGUAGGUGGCUCAUUAGGUCACAUGUGAAAUCCCCGGGCUUAACCUGGGAACUGCAUGUGAUACUGGUGGUGCUAGAAUAUGUGAGAGGGAAGUAGAAUUCCAGGUGUAGCGGUGAAAUGCGUAGAGAUCUGGAGGAAUACCGAUGGCGAAGGCAGCUUCCUGGCAUAAUAUUGACACUGAGAUUCGAAAGCGUGGGUAGCAAACAGGAUUAGAUACCCUGGUAGUCCACGCCGUAAACGAUGUCUACUAGCCGUUGGGGUCCUUGAGACUUUAGUGGCGCAGUUAACGCGAUAAGUAGACCGCCUGGGGAGUACGGCCGCAAGGUUAAAACUCAAAUGAAUUGACGGGGGCCCGCACAAGCGGUGGAGCAUGUGGUUUAAUUCGAUGCAACGCGAAGAACCUUACCUGGUCUUGACAUAGUGAGAAUCCUGCAGAGAUGCGGGAGUGCCUUCGGGAAUUCACAUACAGGUGCUGCAUGGCUGUCGUCAGCUCGUGUCGUGAGAUGUUGGGUUAAGUCCCGCAACGAGCGCAACCCUUUUCCUUAUUUGCCAGCGGGUUAAGCCGGGAACUUUAAGGAUACUGCCAGUGACAAACUGGAGGAAGGCGGGGACGACGUCAAGUCAUCAUGGCCCUUACGACCAGGGCUACACACGUGCUACAAUGGUAGGUACAGAGGGUUGCUACACAGCGAUGUGAUGCUAAUCUCAAAAAGCCUAUCGUAGUCCGGAUUGGAGUCUGCAACUCGACUCCAUGAAGUCGGAAUCGCUAGUAAUCGCAGAUCAGAAUGCUGCGGUGAAUACGUUCCCGGGCCUUGCACUCACCGCCCGUCA